RNAcentral lists this ribosomal RNA (500 nucleotides) under uncultured bacterium. Its description in RNAcentral is "partial 16S ribosomal RNA". It matches the Rfam family "Bacterial small subunit ribosomal RNA", at positions 30 to 523 of the family's 1533-position model. The record is from RNAcentral.
AUUGAACGCUGGCGGCAGGCCUAACACAUGCAAGUCGAGCGGAUGACGGGAGCUUGCUCCUUGAUUCAGCGGCGGACGGGUGAGUAAUGCCUAGGAAUCUGCCUGGUAGUGGGGGACAACGCUUCGAAAGGAACGCUAAUACCGCAUACGUCCUACGGGAGAAAGCAGGGGACCUUCGGGCCUUGCGCUAUCAGAUGAGCCUAGGUCGGAUUAGCUAGUUGGUGUGGUAAUGGCUCACCAAGGCGACGAUCCGUAACUGGUCUGAGAGGAUGAUCAGUCACACUGGAACUGAGACACGGUCCAGACUCCUACGGGAGGCAGCAGUGGGGAAUAUUGGACAAUGGGCGAAAGCCUGAUCCAGCCAUGCCGCGUGUGUGAAGAAGGUCUUCGGAUUGUAAAGCACUUUAAGUUGGGGGGAAGGGCAGUAAGUUAAUACCUUGCUGUUUUGACGUUACCGACAGAAUAAGCACCGGCUAACUCUGUGCCAGCCGCCGCCGUAA